This is a long non-coding RNA of Hibiscus syriacus, 95 nucleotides long. RefSeq lists it as uncharacterized. Lineage: Eukaryota; Viridiplantae; Streptophyta; Magnoliopsida; Malvales; Malvaceae. The transcript has 3 exons. The record is from RefSeq and is a predicted model, not a curated record.
AUACCAAAUAUGGCCUUUUAGAUUCAGUACACAAAUACACAUCCACUCUCUUCUGAUUCAAUAUCCCAAAAAUUAAACUAAAAAUGUUCUUAUCU